GUGGGGAAUAUUGGACAAUGGGCGCAAGCCUGAUCCAGCAACGCCGCGUGAAUGAUGAAGGCCUUCGGGUCGUAAAGUUCUUUUGGUAGGGAAGAAAAUGACGGUACCUACAGAAUAAGCUCCGGCUAACUUCGUGCCAGCAGCCGCGGUAAUACGAAGGGGGCUAGCGUUGUUCGGAAUUACUGGGCGUAAAGCGUGCGUAGGUUGUUAUUCAAGUUAGUGGUGAAAGCCCAGGGCUUAACUCUGGAACUGCCAUUAAAACUGAAUAGCUAGAGAGUGUUAGAGGUAAGUGGAAUUCCUAGUGUAGGAGUGAAAUCCGUAGAUAUUAGGAGGAACAUCAAUGGCGAAGGCAGCUUACUGGGUCACAUCUGACACUGAGGCACGAAAGCGUGGGGAGCAAACAGGAUUAGAUACCCUGGUAGUCC
Molecule: ribosomal RNA, 425 nt
Filed under: uncultured bacterium
Lineage: Bacteria
Description: partial 16S ribosomal RNA
Rfam family: Bacterial small subunit ribosomal RNA
Source: RNAcentral